Bubalus bubalis (water buffalo) is the source of this 2262-nucleotide long non-coding RNA. RefSeq lists it as uncharacterized. The transcript has 3 exons. The record is from RefSeq and is a predicted model, not a curated record. NCBI's taxonomy places the organism in Eukaryota, Metazoa, Chordata, Mammalia, Artiodactyla, Bovidae.
UUUUAUGGCUGAUUAAUGUUCCAUUGUAUAGAUAUACCACAUCUUCUUUAUCCAUUCAGCUGUCGAUGGACACUUAGGUUGCUUCUGUAUCUUGGCUGUUGUGGAUAGCAUUGCUAUGAACACAGAGCUGCGUGUAUCUUUUCACAUCAGGAUUCUGUCUAGCACAUCCCUUUGAUUUUGUUCUCUGAGUAGCACUCACUGUUAUCAGAUAUUUUCUUGUGUAUUUUUUAAUGAUUAUUAUCUAUCUCUCACCCACAGGGGGUCAACUUCAAAAGGAUGAUCUUGUGUCUCUCGUUCACUGCCACAUCUGGGGCCCUAAAUCACUGACCUGCGUGUAACAGAUGCUCAGGAAACUUGAAUGACUAAAUGAAUAGGCAAUGACAUAAAAUUGGCACCUCACCUUUCUAUCACAUAAAAAAAGAUUUUAUUUUUAUCAUGUGCAAAUUAGCUGGUGAUUUUACUUACUCCUCCUCACUCAAAAAAUUGCACUGGCGUGAUAAAAGGACAAUUACAUCUUCUGUUCCUCACGAAAAACCUAAGGACAUCAGAGAGGACUGACAUGACUCCAGCUGGAUACAACACAAGUAAACCUUCAUUCAGGGGUGUUUCUUAACCUGGGUCACUGUAUGAUAUCCAGUUGGCAUUUGGAAAUCUUAAAACUGUGCACAGACCCAUAUUACAGUUCUCACAAUUCCGGGCGGGCAUGAUUGACUCGAGGAGCUCCAGCUGACACCCUAAAAUUCAUUAUCAAGCAUUUCAGAGCCUUUGUUCAUCCAGCCGUCCUGGUAUGGAACAGGCACUGUGCUGAGCAUGGCUGUCCAAAGACACACGAGACAGUCUGGCCUCAAGGUGACCAUGGGGGGAGACUGAGAUCACAAUCAGCAGUAUUAUACCCUGUGAUUCACGCAGUGAUAGAGCUGGCAGCAGAACACGCUGGAAGGAAACCGAAUAUAAUCUGCGACAGUCAGGGUGGGGAGCUGCCUGGAGGAGGCAUUCUGCUCGUUGAAUGUUAACGGAUAGAGGAAUGGAAUGGGGGUAGCUGGGAGGAGAAGACAGCAAGGGGACAGGCACGGGGGAGACACGUCCUGAGUACUCAGAAAAUGAGAAGCUGCUGUGGGAGCAGGAAAGAGUGGGAAGGAGGGGGUGAGCCAGGCAGGAGGACGCAUCUGAUGUGAUGCUGCACCCCAGCCCAGAGGACCAGCUCCUUUCGUGUUCCUUCCGCCCUCCUGUCUCUGAAUCCUGCCCAGGACCUAGGUGCCUGCUGUGCGAGAGCCAGGAUCCAGAUUCAUGAAGAACAGGGGAGCAUUUUUGUUACUGCUGUUCAUUCCUUUGGGAAGAAUUUUUUGCCUACCUUGGAGAAUCUGAAGCCAGUUGCCAUGUCAUGAGAUGCCCUGCGGAGAGGCCCACACAGCAGGGACCUUGUGGAGGCCUCUGGCCAACAGCUACGGGGAACCUGAGACUUGGCAACAGCAGGGGAGUGAACUUGGUAAAGGAUCCGCCCCCAGAGUCAGCUUCAUGGGACCCCGCAGAGGCAGCAGCACCCCACCCCCCACUUGGAGACUGGAGUCCCAGCGGCCGGAACCCGUCGUCGAGUUUCUAAAUUGGCAUCAUUUCAGUCUCUCCCUUAUUUCUCGAGCACCCCCAGCCUAAGAGGCGGCUGCCUCGCAGAUGCUGCCUCCGCAACCCCUUUGAGUUCUCCGGGGCCUCUGCAGUUACCUCCUCAACAAGCCUUCCGCCUACAUCGUCUCUCUUGGAAAAGCAAGCCGCCGUGAUUUCUGUCUCCUGCGUGGACCCUGGCGGACACGGCCCUUGGCAUCCACACCUGGCCUCAGGCCUGCUCAGCGUCUCCUCUCCGGACCGGCACGCCGAACCCUCCACGGGAAGCCUGCUGUCUCCGUGCCCCAGGCUCCUGCGUCUCCUCACCCCCGGCCCAGCCCUACCCUCGGGGGAGGUGAGGACCGCAGACAGGCCAACCCCAGAGCCGGUGACAAAGAGGGCUGAGGCAGGGGGGAGUCAGCGCAGAGAGGCGGCAGCCCAGCGCUGGCAGUGCUGUGCCCGGUGUGUCCAGCCUCAGUGGGAACCACAGGGGCUGCAGAGAGCAGGGGACAACAGGCAGCAAGCGCUGACCACCCAUCUGGGAGACAGUUCAGUGCAGUUCAGUCGCUCAGUCGUGUCUGACUCUUUGCGACCCCAUGAACUGCAGCAUGCCAAGCCUCCCUGUCCAUCACCAACUCUCGGAGUCCACCCAAACCCGUGUCCACU